Molecule: long non-coding RNA, 1102 nt
Filed under: Monodelphis domestica (gray short-tailed opossum)
Lineage: Eukaryota; Metazoa; Chordata; Mammalia; Didelphimorphia; Didelphidae
Description: lncRNA (ENSMODG00000038985.1)
Source: RNAcentral
AUUUUAGGUUCCAAUAAAGGUAGUUGAACUUUAAGUUUUCCUCAAAUUAUGUCCUUUUCCCAGGAUUCUCUAUCUUAUUGUUUUUGAGGGUCGCAACUAUCUGUUAAAGAAAUAAAAGUAUAUUCUUUUUUUGAAUUGCAGAAAUUCAUCACACUCCACUCAGCUGUGAAUAUUUAUUUCCCUUGAAGAUGCUUCUACAGAUCAGAAUAUAGAGCAUCAAUAUACUACACAUUGAAAAAAUUAAAAUGUAAAAUAUUUAUGUUUAACAAAGACAGCUGAAAGAGGAAAAAGCCAGAAGGGAGAUUUCUGGUCAUAGGAAUAAUAUGGAUGUGUCUCUUCCUGAGACAGAUGACUUAUCUUUCUAAUAAAAUGAAAUUAUUUUGGCAGUUUAUUCUCAUGUGAAACACUGAGGUAUUUUUUUUCUUCUUUUAAUAAUAGUUUUGAGGCAGUGCUAUUCUCACUAACAAGGCAUAUUAAAAUCAAGACACUGACAGAACAAAGCAACCUAGCACUGAAAUGACCCAUGCUAACAGACUCAGAACCUGAAUUAAAUUUAAUAAGGACAAUAUGCACAACAACAAAGAUGCAAAUGGAAAGAACAGUGAACACAAACUAAAGGAAUGUUGUGAAAUCAUAAUGAAAAAGCACAGACCCAAAGAAGAUAGAAAAGAAGACAUCUUCUCUAGGUAUUUUGCAAGAAGCCAGGAAAGGAAGGCCAGCUACUCACUCACCCAAGACAAAGUACAAAAGAUCCAGGAGCAACCCUGCAAGAAACAAUUCAAGAGUCCUAGUCCAAGUCCAAGCCAAUGGUCAAGUCCAAAGCCAUCUCCAAAAGCCAAGUCAACAAGAGAAGCCCUAAGCUAAAGAUCUAAGCCAAAGGUUUCCUGGGCAGGAAGUUCAGAACUUUUUAUAAUCCUUUUUCCACAUCACUUCCUGUCCCUUCCUUUUUUCACUGGGGUCAAUGACAGCUUCCAAAUUGUCUAGCUCUGCCCAGGAGGGCAGUGUCUGUGUAUCCAUCUCUCAUCCUCUGAGGGUAUAAACUCUUAUCAAAGGAUUCACAAGUUUCUGACUGAUUGAAUUAAAAAGGGUGGAACUCUCUAAG